Molecule: long non-coding RNA, 3263 nt
Organism: Camelus dromedarius (Arabian camel)
Lineage: Eukaryota; Metazoa; Chordata; Mammalia; Artiodactyla; Camelidae
Exons: 3
Source: RefSeq, a predicted model, not a curated record
CUAAUUCUGUGCUACAGUUUUCUGAAAAAUGUAAAACUAACUAUUAGAAAGUGUAAUUUAUAUAUUACACAAACUAGAAAGUUGGUAUGGCAUCAAGCAAGUUUUGGAGGUAGCUGGGCUGGCUCUAAUCCUUUCUAUCCCUUCUAGCUGUGUGACCUUGAACAAAUUACUUGACAUCUCUGUGAGUUGACUUCUACAUCUAUGAAAUGGGGGUAUUAAUAGUACCUGACUUCAGGGUUGUUAGAGGGUUAAUUUGUGAUGUGUGUACCUGACCCAUAAUUAGUGUGUUAUUUUUCUUUAUCAUCGUCAUCAUUUACUCCAUUUUCAUAACAGUUGAACAGGACUUAUUUUUCCAGGGGCCUAGUGCAGUCUUUUAUACCUGAUUGGCUCUUAACAAAUGAACAAAUCUGAACUUUUGAAUUAGAAUGAUCGUGAGCUAAAACAGAAAGUGAUUUAAAGAUCCUUUCCUUUGAGGGGUAGGAUAUAUCUCAAGUGCUAGAGCAUGUGCUUAGCAUGCACAAGGUCCUAGGUUCAAUACCCAGUUCCCCUCUAAAAUUAAAUAGGUAAGUAAAUAAACCAAAUUACCUCCCCUCACCUAAAAGUAAAUAACAAAAAUAAAAUAAAUUUAAAAAAAUCCAUUCCUUGACUUUGUGAGCCUUUUGUGUUUAAUGAUAGUCACAGAGCUUCUGGAAUUUUCCGUUUAGUUUCCACUCAUGGCCUCAUACACGCAAUGAGAAAGGUUGGGUAAUAGAGGGAGACGCUGGGCAGGGCAAUCAUUUGACCUACAUUCCUUCACUCUUUAAUAAAAAGGCUUUAUUCGCAGUCUUGAGUAACAGCAAACAUUCCAUCUCCUCCGGCAUGCCUUCUUGCUGAGGUAACAGAUGCGAGCCAAGCCCGUGGAGGGCACUCAGGCACACGUGUGCUGCCCAGGCUGCUCUCCUGGAAAAAGCAGACCAGGUGCCACCCCACGGCGCAGCACCGGGGAAGCAGGCUCGGGUCCGCUGACUCUGAACCCUCACCCUGGGCCAGUGACUUAGCCUCUCUGAGGCUCAGCUUUCUCACCCUCGAGAUCAUGAAAAUGGAGGGUUACAGACAGCAUGGCGCGAAACCUGGCACAGAAGAAAACAUAUUUAUCCAGUGGAAGUCUCACUACCUCCUCUGUGCCAGCCUCUCCUUAAGCCAGGUGCCAGGGACACAGGUGACCAAAGUCACAAGACCAACUGCCUGACAGUGUUAACUGGCCAGCAGACAGACCGUCCUACAGAGGGGCACAGUAAGCACAGUAAGCCCAGUGAGGGAAUAAAGGGCGGCGGUGAGAGCGCAUGAAGACGGAGGCUGGGACCUGAUGGGUGUCUCCUACUCAACAUUGGAAAACACUUGUUCUAGUUUAUUAGUUUACAAAGCAUUUUUAGUUCACCAUCUUAGUGUUCUGAGAGCAACCCUGGAGCUUGGGUGCACAUCCCCAGAGCUUUCCUCAGUAAAGUUCCUGCUGGUGAUCUUCACCUCAGAGUCGCUUCCUGGGGAAUUGACCUGCAUCAAAUGACCUCUGAGGUUUCCAGGCAGCAGAAACAAUGUGAACAAGGAUAUGGCAUAAUGUAGCAGAAUGAAAGGGAGCUGAUGGCGGAGGACUUUGAAGGACAGGCUGAAGUAUCAGCCUUGAUAGAGAACACUCCAGAAAGCUUGGCUGGCCCACCUGCUGUAGCUAUUGCCCCGUGAGAACACUGGAGCCCACCCUGACAUCCCCUUUGUAAAGAGAAUUUGUAACCCAGAUAUAUCUGCCCUGACCUUUAACAUUUACUGCCCCAUCCGUCCGUGAUCCUGUGACUCAGGCCCUGAAGCUGGAGAGGGAGGAUCUGAAUUUAGGAUCUCCCUUGCCAACUUUAUUCCUGUAUGACUUUAGAGCUUUUGUUCCUCAUUUGUAAAAUGGAUAUACUGUACAGCACAGGGAACUAUAUUCAGUAUCUUGUGGUAACCUAUAAUGAAAAGAAUCUGAAAAGGAAUGUACAUAUGUAUAUAUGUAUGACUGAAACAUUAUGCUGUACACCAGAAAUUGACACAAUAAAUUGAAAAUUGACUGUACUUCAUAAAAAAAAAAAAGGAGAGAAGAAAUGGAUAUGCUGUGAGGAUUGAAAUAUUCCUAAUUUCAUGGGCAUUUCAUUGGUGUCAUGUAACAGGAGGCUUCCCCGGCCACAAUAACUGGAUGAUACUAAGCUAAGCUCAAUUAAAUGGAUUUCUUUACUGUAGGAUUUCUCAGUCUUUAAUAUGCUGCUGUGCCUUGUGAUCUCAAGGAGGGAGGUGUAAUCCAAAUCAUCGUACCUUAACUCAUCAGGAAGAACUUUCCCCUCCCAACACCUUCCAGGGAGCAUCUAAUAGGCUGUGUCCUGCUGAAGUCAUAUUGAGAAACCCUGACCCACAACAUAGCAAACAGUUAUAAAAUGUUAAGCUGGAUUCUGUUGAUCACCAUGGUCUGCCCUGCCUUGACAUGAAACUAAGGAAUCUUUCAGAAAUUUGUUAAGAUGUCCCGGUGACUCUGGUACUCAAGAUCAUUGUGGUCUUGCUUAUUUAAAUUUGGUAAGGUAUAAUUCCCUUCAAAGAUACCUCCAAAUUAUGACGUGCAUCUUUUAAAGAAUGAUACUCUCUCAAGCCUUUAGAUUUGGGGGGAUUGUGGGUUUCCAGUGCAUGCACUGUCCACUGGGCUGGCAGUGGCCACCACGUUGUGCUGAAACACACGAUGGCUGCCUUGUGGGGACAGAGCAAUGUGUUGAGAAGGAUGCUGAAGCUGUGUCUAGGCUGUGUGAGCAGGGGUGCUCUGCUGGAUUAGUGAUGUCCAUUAACCCAGCAUUUGCUACCUUUAUUUUAGACCAUAGUAAAAUUUAAUUUAUACAUUACUUUUUCAAGACAGUGAGAGAAUAAAUAAAUUGUAUAUAAACUAUCUCAAGUGCAGCAUGUUCAAAACUAACUCAUCAUCAUCUUCUCCUCUAACUUCAGUCUAUGCCGUACCUUUCAUCUCAGAUCGUGGCAGUGGCCUCCACCAACAUACACAUGAUUCCCCCAGGUCUUCAUUUCCUGUAACCAAUCAGCCACCGAAUCUUGCCAGUUUUACCUUCUAUAUGUGUCUCAAAGCUUUCCCCUCCUCAUUGCAGCUACCGCCCCAACCCUGCAAAUGCUCUUAACUCUCACCCCAGCCUCUACAGCUUCUCCCUGCUGGCGUCCCUGCUUCAGCCCUGUACCCUUCAAAUCCUUCCCCCAAUCUACCCGUCUAC